This 858-nucleotide ribosomal RNA is filed under the name Pseudomonas sp. Its description in RNAcentral is "bacterial SSU rRNA". It matches the Rfam family "Bacterial small subunit ribosomal RNA", at positions 61 to 914 of the family's 1533-position model. The record is from RNAcentral. Lineage: Bacteria; Pseudomonadati; Pseudomonadota; Gammaproteobacteria; Pseudomonadales; Pseudomonadaceae.
GUCGAGCGGUAGAGAGAAGCUUGCUUCUCUUGAGAGCGGCGGACGGGUGAGUAAUGCCUAGGAAUCUGCCUGGUAGUGGGGGAUAACGUCCGGAAACGGACGCUAAUACCGCAUACGUCCUACGGGAGAAAGCAGGGGACCUUCGGGCCUUGCGCUAUCAGAUGAGCCUAGGUCGGAUUAGCUAGUUGGUGGGGUAAUGGCUCACCAAGGCGACGAUCCGUAACUGGUCUGAGAGGAUGAUCAGUCACACUGGAACUGAGACACGGUCCAGACUCCUACGGGAGGCAGCAGUGGGGAAUAUUGGACAAUGGGCGAAAGCCUGAUCCAGCCAUGCCGCGUGUGUGAAGAAGGUCUUCGGAUUGUAAAGCACUUUAAGUUGGGAGGAAGGGCAGUUGCCUAAUACGUAACUGUUUUGACGUUACCGACAGAAUAAGCACCGGCUAACUCUGUGCCAGCAGCCGCGGUAAUACAGAGGGUGCAAGCGUUAAUCGGAAUUACUGGGCGUAAAGCGCGCGUAGGUGGUUUGUUAAGUUGGAUGUGAAAUCCCCGGGCUCAACCUGGGAACUGCAUUCAAAACUGACUGACUAGAGUAUGGUAGAGGGUGGUGGAAUUUCCUGUGUAGCGGUGAAAUGCGUAGAUUUAGGAAGGAACACCAGUGGCGAAGGCGACCACCUGGACUAAUACUGACACUGAGGUGCGAAAGCGUGGGGAGCAAACAGGAUUAGAUACCCUGGUAGUCCACGCCGUAAACGAUGUCAACUAGCCGUUGGAAGCCUUGAGCUUUUAGUGGCGCAGCUAACGCAUUAAGUUGACCGCCUGGGGAGUACGGCCGCAAGGUUAAAACUCAAAUGAAUUGAC